GAUCAUGGCUCAGACGAACGCUGGCGGCAUGGAUUAGGCAUGCAAGUCGACGGAGCAGCAAUGCUCCAGUGGCGCAAGGGUGAGGAACACGUGAACAACCUGCCUUCGAUUGGGGAUAGCUUCUGGAAACGGGAGAUAAUACCGAAUAACAUCACCGGAUCGCAUGAUCUGAUGAUCAAAGCAGCAAUGCGCUUGAAGAGGGGUUCGCGUCCAUUAGCUAGUUGGUGAGGUAACGGCCCACCAAGGCGAUGAUCGGGUAGCUGGUCUGAGAGGACGAUCAGCCACAUUGGGACUGAGAUACUGCCCAGACUCCUACGGGAGGCUGCAGUCGAGAAUUUUGGGCAAUGGACGAAAGUCUGACCCAAGCAAUGCCGCGUGCGGGAUGAAGGUCUUCGGAUUGUAAACCGCUGUCAAGAGGGACGAAACAUGACGGUACCUCUGGAGGAAGCCACGGCUAACUACGUGCCAGCCGCCGC
RNAcentral lists this ribosomal RNA (476 nucleotides) under uncultured bacterium. RNAcentral's name for it is "bacterial SSU rRNA". It matches the Rfam family "Bacterial small subunit ribosomal RNA", at positions 15 to 518 of the family's 1533-position model. The record is from RNAcentral.